GGGCCUGUAGUUCAGUGGUAGAACCGGCCGCUCAUAACGGUCUUGUCGGGGGUUCAAUUCCCUCUGGGCCCACCA
Molecule: transfer RNA, 75 nt
Filed under: Minisyncoccota bacterium
Lineage: Bacteria; Bacillati; Minisyncoccota
Description: tRNA-Ile
Rfam family: tRNA
About the family: Transfer RNA (tRNA) molecules are approximately 80 nucleotides in length.
Source: RNAcentral